GAGACAGCAGUAGCCGCGGUAAAACAGAGGGUGCGAGCGUUAAUCGGAUUUACUGGGCGUAAAGCGUGCGUAGGCGGCUUUUUAAGUCGGAUGUGAAAUCCCUGAGCUUAACUUAGGAAUUGCAUUCGAUACUGGGAAGCUAGAGUAUGGGAGAGGAUGGUAGAAUUCCAGGUGUAGCGGUGAAAUGCGUAGAGAUCUGGAGGAAUACCGAUGGCGAAGGCAGCCAUCUGGCCUAAUACUGACGCUGAGGUACGAAAGCAUGGGGAGCAAACAGGAUUAGAUACCCGUGUAGUCCCUGUCUCUUAUAC
Molecule: ribosomal RNA, 308 nt
Filed under: uncultured bacterium
Lineage: Bacteria
Description: partial 16S ribosomal RNA
Rfam family: Bacterial small subunit ribosomal RNA
Source: RNAcentral